Molecule: non-coding RNA, 117 nt
Filed under: Homo sapiens (human)
Lineage: Eukaryota; Metazoa; Chordata; Mammalia; Primates; Hominidae
Source: Rfam by way of RNAcentral
GCCGGGUGCGGUGGCUCACACCUGUAAUCCCAGCACUUUGGGAGGCUGAGGCGGGUGGAUCACCUGAGGUCAGGAGUUCAAGACCAGCCUGGCCAACAUGGUGAAACCCCGUCUCUA